GACAGCAGCAGCCACGGUAAUACAGAGGGUGCGAGCGUUAAUCGGAUUUACUGGGCGUAAAGCGUGCGUAGGCGGCUUCUUAAGUCGGAUGUGAAAUCCCUGAGCUUAACUUAGAAAUUGCAUUCGAUACUGGGAAGCUAGAGUAUGGGAGAGGAUGGUAGAAUUCCAGGUGUAGCGGUGAAAUGCGUAGAGAUCUGGAGGAAUACCGAUGGCGAAGGCAGCCAUCUGGCCUAAUACUGACGCUGAGGUACGAAAGCAUGGGGAGCAAACAGGAUUAGAUACCCCGGUAGUCCCUGUCUCUUAUAC
RNAcentral lists this ribosomal RNA (306 nucleotides) under uncultured bacterium. Its description in RNAcentral is "partial 16S ribosomal RNA". It matches the Rfam family "Bacterial small subunit ribosomal RNA", at positions 507 to 807 of the family's 1533-position model. The record is from RNAcentral.